Molecule: non-coding RNA, 4462 nt
Organism: Microcebus murinus (gray mouse lemur)
Lineage: Eukaryota; Metazoa; Chordata; Mammalia; Primates; Cheirogaleidae
Source: RefSeq, a predicted model, not a curated record
UCCUGUCUCUGGCCCCAGGUAGUAAAGGCAUUACACAGUCCCACUCUGGAAAGGAAAGCCCCCCACCCCCUACCCUGUCGCCAAGCUGGGUCACCUAGGACUGCGCUUUCUCUGGGGGGUAGUGGGGAGAGGGCGGGCGAGGGGGGUGGACAGAGGCCGAGGGAGGAGGGGAGUUUUACAGAAAGAAUUCAGGCCAGUGUAGAGAGACAGGCUGGGGCAUGUGUCAGAGUCAAGAUACCAGGACAGAACGUUGACUUCUCUCUUUUAUCCAAAAUACUUCUGCAGUUGUUUUUUUUUUUAAAGUAUACGUGUAAGGACUUUAUUCUGAAUUUUUAGAAUGACAUCUAGUAAAUGUACAGGAGAGAACACAAGUUGGAUCUAGCUUCCUAGAUUUUCACAAAGUAAAUAGCUCUCGGGUCAAGAAACCGAAUGCAGCCAGCUCCUCCCAGAAACCUUCCUCUUCCUCUCACUUAGUCCCUCCCCGACAAGGGGGCCGCUGUCUUGACUUCCAAGUCUGUAGAUUCAUCUCGCCUCUCUUUGAACUUUAUAUAAAUGGAAUCACAUGGUGCGUUUUCUCGUGCCUGGCUGCUUUUGCUCCUGUCUGUGAGAUUUACCCACAAUUGCUGCAAGUAAUUGUAGGUUGCUCCUUCUCAUUGCUGUGUAGUAUUUUAUUGUGUGAAUCUACAACAAGCUACUUAUGCAUUCUGCUGUUGACGGUCAUUUGGGUAGUUUCCAGUGGUGUCAUUAGGGACAUUUCUUUGUACAUGUCUUUUGCUAAGUUUUUUUUUUUUUUUUCCCUCUGCAUUUCUCUUGGCUAGGAGUGGAAAUGCGCCUAUCCAUUUUGAUGCACGUUUAGUGGACGUGUCUGGAAAUGAUGCUUACUAAGGGUUGCAGGUUCCUCCCUGUCUCGUGGAGGGAGGAGUGAGUGAAUGUUUCAUGAACUUGGCUGUGUGUUCAUAGGGCGGCCUGAGAGCGUUAGUUCCAAUUGCAAGUCCUGGCAUGGCGCACUGGCGGAGGGUGCAACUUUGCCUUCCCUACACUCAUGGGAAAUUUGCCACUGUGAUUCCUUGGCCUUCCAUCCCCCAAUGGGUCAGGCUCGAAGCCAGCAGUGAGAAUUAAGUGUUCUCAAUUAUUUCAUUUCCCCCUCCUCUUCCUAAGUAAGAAAACCCCACAGGAAAGUCUUUGACAGUUCAGAUUUACAUGGCUGCCCUUUUCUCACGCCAGGCAGCCAUGCGUCUUGACCGAGAGCCUUGGUUGCAUGUUUUCAUGGCUUGCAAGUCUGAUCUGAACAUGGCCGUGAUGGUCUCUGGUGGCUUCCGGAGAGCUCAGACCUGUCAGCUCGCCCUCCUCGAGGUGGCAGGUCUCCCACCGAACACGACAGAGAAACCUGGACCGUUGCAAGAGCCAUGGAUGGAGGUCUGUGUUUUGUCACGCUUAAGUCUCCUGAUCCGCACCCGGGAUUCCGGCUUUCCAUCCCGGUAUGCAGGAAUCUCAACAAGACACCUGAAGUCGCAUUGACACCGGACGCUGGCUGGUUGGCAUGCCUCCAGGUUUUUCUUUUGGGUGCAGUUCUUCAUCCGCCAUUCCAAAAUCCAAAAAGCUCCAAAAACCAACAAUAUGAGCUCAUUUAGAGGUGAAACCUAACCUGCACUGACUUGUGUGUGUAGUCUUAAGGUACAGUUUGAACUGAUCCCACGUGGUGCAUGUUUUGGUAUGUUCCGCACGCAAAAAACGUUAGAUACUCUUGAUUGUGGCGUGCUCAGACUUUCAAGCGAGCCGGGAUUGUCUCCUUAAAAUGACGAUUCUGCUCCAGCAGGUUUGGGCCGGGGGCUGGGCUUCUGUCUUUCCAACUAGCUUCCCUGUGCUUCUCGUCCACGGGCUGUGCUCGGAGUAUCCAGGUUCUGUCGUAGAGGCAUCCUGUGACCUUUUUUCUUGUUCUUAAAAAUAGGGUUUAUCGAGGUAUACUAUAUGGGUAGCAAAAUGCGCCCUUUUUAUAUGCUGUUCUGUGCGUUUUGGCAGAUGCAGGCAGGUGUGCAGCCGCCACCUGAAUCAAGACAGGGAGCAGUUCUGUCAAGCCCAGAACAUCCGCGUGGCGCCCUUCUGAGUCAGCACCCCCCGUUUCUCCAGUCCCUUGUACCCACUGGUCUGUUCUCUGUCCCUGUAGCUUUGCCUUUUGCAAAAGGUCAUAUAAAUAGAAUCACGCAGUAUGUAGCCUUUUGAGUCUGACUUCUGUCACUCGGGCUUUGAGAGUCAUUGGCGUCGUUGCGUGUGUCCCUAGUUUGUUCCUUUUGGGCGCUGAGUGGUGUUUCGUGGUGUGCGUGGACCGGUGUUAAUUCACCCAUUUUUCCCAGCCGCCAAGCCGCUGGGAUGUUUUGGGUCUGGGUGAUUGUGAACAGAGCCGCUCCCAGCACACGGGUGGGUGGGUUUGAGUGGGAACAUCGAGGACAUGACAUUUCCUUUCUCUUGGGUAAAUAAAUACCCAAGGGUGGCAUUGCCGAGUUGUGCAGCAGGGGUAUGUUUAAUUUUAUAAUUAAAAUGAUAAAAGUUUUCCAAAGUGGUUGCACCAUUUUAUGUCCCCAUCUCUGUUAUCCUUCUGAAAGCCCCAAGUUCUAAACUGCAGAGCACACCGGCUUUGAGGGUUCAGGGGUAGGGGUGUGGACUUGCAGAAAGUGACGGGAGUGGUUGUGUUAAAUGCCAGUCAGAGAAAUGGGAAUGAUCGCGGACCCUGUUGGAAGCCAUGUGUCUGCCCUGGCGAGAGAGAAGGGGGUCUCUGGGGUGGGGCGCCUGGGUCCUGCCCCUCGCCAGUAAGAAAAUCAAGCCCCGAGGCCAGGGGGCCCAUGCCAUGCUCCUGUUCUUUGCCACUGCAACUCCACUGGGCCGCACAAGGCAGGCACCCCAUGCGCGUUUGUUGAAUGAAUUACAAAAAACGUCUGUCUUCGCCUGUUAGCUAAGUCAUAUAACGUCUCAUCUGCCCCUUGUGCCAAUGUUGUAGGUGUUUGGGGGGUUUUAGGUGAACGAGGUUGGGAGGAUGUUCGUGAGGUUAUCGGACCAAUGCCGAUUUCUGAGAGGUUGGCCCUUGAGCAGAUGGGGCAGCGCUUUGAGAAGGAAGCCUUGCUGCAGGGGGUGGGGGGCUUCUAUUGCAUGCUCGGGGCGUGUGUCCUCCCUCGCUGUUGCCCCCCCGGAGUGAGCACACAUAUGCACUUCUUCAAUAACAGAAGGCACCCCCGGGAAGGUGGAUCAAAUCCAGAGAUAGCCCGAGCCUAAGAGCCCGGCUGGUAACGCAUUUCUGAGAAUGCCAACUCAGCUCUUGGGAAAGGGGCCGGAUGGCGCCUGCCCGGAAAGAGGGCGGAGGGCAGAGGAAAAGUGCCCCAGACUCUGUGUCACACAGGCCAGGGUUCGAGUCCUUGGCCAGCCACGCCAUCCUGCCCACUGGAGCCGUUUCCUCACAUGCAUAUGGAGAUACUGCCUCUGACAGUCACUCCCUUGGAGAGCUUUCAGGGCUUGAAAUGGAGUCAUGCAUGGAGAACAGUCAGCACAGAGAAAACCCCAAAAUACAAAAGCCACAAUGCCGGGAAGUCACACUGUGUCUCCCGUCCAGGUACCAGCCAGGCCCGACCCUGCUUAGCUUGUGAGAUCGGACGGGGUGGGGUGGCCACAGACGUGUUCCUGCUGCUCUGUUUUCUUUCUUUCCUCGGAGGGGGCAACUUUGGCUAGAAACGGGGCUCCCUGGGUAGGAGCGGGAGCGGCGGGCCCCUGUGCGACUGGCCGGUGUGGGUUUCUUAACCUGAGUGUGGGAGUCUUUAAAGCAACCCUCGGACGAUUUUUGCAUUCUCUGUUCUCUCUGGAAGCUUUCAGGGGGAAAAAAAAAAAAAUCAUGCCCACUUGACCUAUUUUUCUAUUCCCUUCGGUCUAAGAUAAAAUUAAUUCUCUUCCUCCCCACCCCUUUGGUCCCUCCCUUAGUGGGUGACAAGGAGAGGGAGUUUCAGAGUAUGUAAUUAGUUUUCCUGCUACCACGCCCUGCCCCCUUUUCCAGAGUAGGCCAGAGUCCCGCCCAACGUGGGGACCACAGACUCGGGAGCCCUUCUUUGCCUGCCCAAGUGUCUGCUGCGAGCUCAACAGAACUGAGCUUUUGGGUUAGAACUCAGGUCCCCUCCUCCUGCCCCAUCCUGCCCCCUGAACCCCCCAUCUUCCUUCUCCCUCGCUCCCUGGGAGAACGGAGAAGGCAAAGAACACUCCCGCAGAGGGACCAGGCAGGUGUGCGUGGCAGCUUGGGUUUUAAAAACCCACUGGGCAUUCAUUAUUACCUCUUGUCUGGGUGGGGUGGCGAUUUAUCCGGGUUUGGGACUGUCCUGGUUUUAGUGUCUCUGGAAACUCAUCGGUCCUGGGCAAAUCGGGAUGUGGGUCACACUAGGGGUGACUUCCUAACACCUGAGAGAGAGAGAGAGAGAGAGAGGGAGAGAGA